Phycodurus eques (leafy seadragon) is the source of this 762-nucleotide long non-coding RNA. RefSeq lists it as uncharacterized. NCBI's taxonomy places the organism in Eukaryota, Metazoa, Chordata, Actinopteri, Syngnathiformes, Syngnathidae. The record is from RefSeq and is a predicted model, not a curated record. The transcript is spliced from 3 exons.
GGGACCAGCUUCCCAAAAGCAGGCAGGACCCCCUCGGUAGUGUUAAUGAAAAGUGUAACUUUAGCCUCCCAGCUGUAUGUCUCAAUCUAUAAUCCUUCCCCAAAAUCCUGGACAUAGAGCCGCCUCCCGCUCCCAUGGCGCUCCCAAACCUGGGCCGGGCCGGGCCCGCUCUGGUUUAGUCCUGUGUGCACCUCGCAACCUGAACACCAUUUCGGGCCCGCUUCCGUGGACUCCCGCCUCCCUUCUACAUAUACCGCCACAAUGGCGUGGGUGCGGUGACCCUGUGUGACAAGAACAAGGACAUUUUGGGUGAAGCCCGGGGUCUCUCUGUGGAGGUCAGAGUCCAAACAGACGCAGCCGGACGCACGGCCACAGUUUGGGAUGCAGAUGCACAGAGGCAGGAUGAGCAAACGAGAUCGCCCUGAGCUGACCUUUAACUUUGGCGGCGGCUAACGGCGGCCUGGCGCCCGAUCAAUGAACCGAGCACGCGGGCUGCCCAUCCCAUACCCCGUUCGCCCGGGCCAGGAAGGAGCGAACGCUGCCAGAAGCCUCGACACCAAGCCGAGCCGUCCAAAUUGACUCUCGCCCGUCCCGCGGGGAGACGGUGGGGACGUCGCCUCGCCCUGCCACGUACGAAAGGACAGCCAACAACAGUGGAUCUCUGCGGCUAAUAAUCUACUUGUCAAUGUCAGAAUAGAUCUGGAAAAAGCCCAGUGAAAGAUGACCACUUUGUGUAAUAGUAUGAAGCCAACACGACACUAU